CCCUCCCAGUAAAGGGGUCAGAGCUGCUUGGGUGGAAGCCCAGAGGGCUGUGGUCAAAGGUCACCGUCCAGUGUCAUUACGAAGAGGACUCACCUCCCAGCAAAAAUGUCACAGUGGUGGUGUGCAUAGAUUCCUGAUUUAGGUCAUUCAUCCAUUUGGUCAAAAAUACAUUUUACUCUGUUACAGACAUGCUGACUAAGUACAUCAUCGGAUGUAUGGCCCUGAUAGGAUUCAUGAUUCUACUUGCAGUAUUCAUAUUCUGCAUCACCUGUCUCCUCUCACUGAAAGCAAAGAGGAACGGACGCCUCGUCAUAACAAGGUGAAUAGUGUUGGUUGUGUGUUGAACAGCAUGAUUAUGACAGCAUACAGAACAUACAGUUUAAAUGUGAAUGCCUGUCUCACCUAACCAUGUCUUCCAGAUCGCCCAGUGACCAGACAUUGCCAGGAGACCCUACCCUAACAAGUAUGUAUGAUGUCACAGUGAAGUGUACGUGUGUAGGCCUAUUAUUAUAGAGAUAUUUACCACAGUCCCGUUUUAACAGCACAUUUCUGUGAUUCUGUUAACACAGCAAGUGACACAACAUAUCCUGUAGAAUCUCAACAGGAAAAGAAGACAUGACAUAAUUAUGUUUUUAUGUAGCUGCCUCACACUCUUCCUCUACUUUACCACUAUAGUGCUUUUUUGGUUUUCUGUGCAUAAACAGUACAGUGGGCUGGCACACAACACAUAAGCAUGUUAUAAAUGAAAAACAGUUGGAAUUGUGGUUUAUUGAAAGGAUUUGAUGAUUUGAUGUUUUCUUUCAAAUAGUGAUUUGUCCUCAUCCCUUUGUUGCAAUAACAGGAAGGUGAAGAUGAUUGGUGCUAUGCCACCGUGUCCCAUGCUGGUGCUCCUCCAUCCUACUCAGUCAAGUUUGAGCAAGGCCAUGACUAUGCCACAAUGGUCAUAUACUGACCAGCAUGUGCCGACCUAAAUGGACAUGAAAGGACUGUUACAUUCCCCAGUUUCAGUGUUGUGGUUUGUGUAUUUAUAUGUUUUUAUUUCAGGAAAUGGCUUCCUGAAAUUCUCCAAGCAGCUGAUUGGUCGGCCCCAUUACUGAUUGGAGAGCUGACCCCGCCUCCUCGUCAGGAUGCAGCUGUCUCCAAUUAACAACUCCUUCUCCAGCUAUAUAAGCCGGUGUUCUGUUGCUCAGAGAGAAGGCUGAUGGCUAUUUCUGUGUUGUUCAGAGUUUUCUUAAGUAUUGUCUAGCUGCUGAUUUGAGGUAUGUGUGUGUGUGCGCGCGCCAUAGAACUGUGGUUUUGAUUAUUGGAAUUGCUUACUCACAUUUGUGUUUUUCAUUUGGUCCCAGGGGGAAGGGGAAGGCACCCAGGGAGUGCUUAGGCAAGAGGCCCGUGGGCAUACAUUACCAUAGUAGUUUAUUGUCUAUGCACACUAGGAAAGACCUGGGCGGACCAUCCCCUGUAUUUUGGUUAGUGCACCAGGUGGUGCUAGUUAAGUUGUGGGUAGGCAGGUAAGGAAAGAGGGGGCUUUAAUAUUUACUUUCUUUGCUUUGGUUCCGUCCAGCCCCUUUUCCCCAAACUCACCGUGCGAAGGAAUAAAUUCCCUGUAAACGGUGUUCUCUGCCUUUUGUCAUCCUUACUCACACCUACAGUCCAUACCUCUUUCACACCACGGAGAGUUGAGUUGUAGCA
Molecule: long non-coding RNA, 1689 nt
Organism: Salmo trutta (river trout)
Lineage: Eukaryota; Metazoa; Chordata; Actinopteri; Salmoniformes; Salmonidae
Source: Ensembl